This 460-nucleotide ribosomal RNA is filed under the name uncultured bacterium. RNAcentral describes it as "partial 16S ribosomal RNA". It matches the Rfam family "Bacterial small subunit ribosomal RNA", at positions 338 to 795 of the family's 1533-position model. The record is from RNAcentral.
CCUACGGGAGGCAGCAGUGAGGAAUAUUGGUCAAUGGGCACUAGCCUGAACCAGCCAAGUAGCGUGAAGGAUGACUGCCCUAUGGGUUGUAAACUUCUUUUAUAUGGGAAUAAAGUGCAGUAUGUAUACUGCUUUGCAUGUACCUUAUGAAUAAGGAUCGGCUAACUCCGUGCCAGCAGCCGCGGUAAUACGGAGGAUCCGAGCGUUAUCCGGAUUUAUUGGGUUUAAAGGGAGCGUAGGCGGGUUGUUAAGUCAGUUGUGAAAGUUUGAGGCUCAACCGUAAAAUUGCAGUUGAUACUGGCAUCCUUGAGUACAGUAGAGGUAGGCGGAAUUCGUGGUGUAGCGGUGAAAUGCUUAGAUAUCACGAAGAACUCCGAUUGCGAAGGCAGCCUGCUGGACUGUAACUGACGCUGAUGCUCGAAAGUGUGGGUAGCAAACAGGAUUAGAUACCCGAGUAGUC